AUGGGAGGGGUGAAGAAGCCCCAAGGAGGGGUUGGGAGAGGACCUUCCGAGCUCAGCGAACUCUUAAGCAGCAGAGCCUGGAUGCAAACUGGGGCCUUCUCUUUCCCAACCGGGGCUCCUCCUGCAAACCAGACCAACAGGCCAGGCGACAAAGUGAACAGGAAGGUCAGGAAGGUAUUUGGCCUUGUUUCCCUGGGGCCACCGCCUGACCUUUUGACGCCUUGGGAACAAGGAAGGAAGGAGAAGGAAUCGACGGUCCCAGCCGCGCCGGGUAUUCCUUGCUAUGUGGUGGGAUCGCAAUUACGGCUUCGUGGACGACUCAGUACUCUGUGCGGUGGCACCUCGAGGAACCCCUGGCCCUCGCAGGACCCCGGGCUCCUUGUCGUUGGCAGAGCCCGGAUUUUCCCCAGACCCCGGGCACCGGGCUUCACCACCUGCGUCUUUAUAGAGCUGUGAGCGCUCCCAGGAGCAAAGUCUCGACUCCUUCGGCGGCUGCCACGAGCAGGACUUCUCCACGCCCCAAAGACUGGACUUAACGCGGCUUCCUGGGUCGCGGGGCUGCAGCGUCUGCUCUCAGGCCCCAGGCCCAGGCCCCCGCCCCGGCCACCUCCGUCCGUUCCCGUCAGGGGCCACCUGCCCUGGGAGCCGACCUGGGGUCAGUCAGGGCACCCGGGGGCUGAGGGCGGAUCGGGGCGGCGGGCGGGAGCGCCCUCGGCCUUCCCGCCCCGCCCGCCCGCUCUCCUGGGACGCGGG
RNAcentral lists this long non-coding RNA (753 nucleotides) under Canis lupus familiaris (dog). RNAcentral's name for it is "lncRNA (ENSCAFG00000059231.1)". The record is from RNAcentral. Lineage: Eukaryota; Metazoa; Chordata; Mammalia; Carnivora; Canidae.